AUUGAACGCUAACGGCAUGCUUAACACAUGCAAGUCGAACGGCAGCACAGCAGUAGCAAUACUGUGGGUGGCGAGUGGCGGACGGGUGAGUAAUGUAUAGGAAUCUGCCUUGUAGUGGGGGAUAACCUGGGGAAACUCGGGCUAAUACCGCAUAAUCUUUACGAAGCAAAGCGGGGGAUCGUAAGACCUUGCGCUAUAAGAUGAGCCUAUAUUGGAUUAGCUAGUUGGUGGGGUAAAGGCCUACCAAGGCGACGAUCCAUAGCUGGUCUGACAGGUUGAUCAGACACCUUGGGACUGAGACACGGCCCAGACUCCGACGGGAGGCAGCAGUGGUGAAUAUUGGACAAUGGGGGAAACCCUGAUCCAGCAAUGCCGUGUGUGUGAAGAAGGCCUUCGGGUUGUAAAGCACUUUUAGUGGGAAAGAAAAGCUCAAAGCUAAUAACUUUUAACCGUGACGCUACCCAAAGAAAAAGCACCGGCUAACUCUGUGCCAGCCGCCGCGGUAA
This 506-nucleotide ribosomal RNA is filed under the name uncultured bacterium. RNAcentral's name for it is "partial 16S ribosomal RNA". It matches the Rfam family "Bacterial small subunit ribosomal RNA", at positions 30 to 523 of the family's 1533-position model. The record is from RNAcentral.